Non-coding RNA from Mycena haematopus, 92 nucleotides. The record is from the annotation of a GenBank genome assembly. NCBI's taxonomy places the organism in Eukaryota, Fungi, Basidiomycota, Agaricomycetes, Agaricales, Mycenaceae.
GCCCCGAUGGACUAGUGGUAUUGUCGCCCGGUAAAGUUGGAUAUGAGAUAAAUGUGACCCGGGGAAGGGGGGUUCGAUUCCUCCAAGGGGCA